UGGGGAAUUUUGGACAAUGGGCGAAAGCCUGAUCCAGCAAUGCCGCGUGUGUGAAGAAGGCCUUCGGGUUGUAAAGCACUUUUGUCCGGAAAGAAAUCCUUGGCUCUAAUACAGUCGGGGGAUGACGGCNCCGGAAGAAUAAGCACCGGCUAACUACGUGCCAGCAGCCGCGGUAAUACGUAGGGUGCAAGCGUUAAUCGGAAUUACUGGGCGUAAAGCGUGCGCAGGCGGUUUGCUAAGACCGAUGUGAAAUCCCCGGGCUCAACCUGGGAACUGCAUUGGUGACUGGCAGGCUAGAGUAUGGCAGAGGGGGGUAGAAUUCCACGUGUAGCAGUGAAAUGCGUAGAGAUGUGGAGGAAUACCGAUGGCGAAGGCAGCCCCCUGGGCCAAUACUGACGCUCAUGCACGAAAGCGUGGGGAGCAAACAGGAUUAGAUACCCUGGUAGUCCACGCCCUAAAACGAUGUCAACUAGUUGUUGGGGAUUCAUUUCCUUAGUAACGUAGCUAACGCGUGAAGUUGACCGCCUGGGGAGUACGGUCGCAAGAUUAAAACUUAAAGGAAUUGACGGGGUCAUA
Molecule: ribosomal RNA, 576 nt
Filed under: uncultured bacterium
Lineage: Bacteria
Description: partial 16S ribosomal RNA
Rfam family: Bacterial small subunit ribosomal RNA
Source: RNAcentral